This 459-nucleotide ribosomal RNA is filed under the name uncultured bacterium. RNAcentral's name for it is "partial 16S ribosomal RNA". It matches the Rfam family "Bacterial small subunit ribosomal RNA", at positions 338 to 795 of the family's 1533-position model. The record is from RNAcentral.
CCUACGGGAGGCUGCAGUGAGGAAUAUUGGUCAAUGGCCGGAAGGCUGAACCAGCCAAGCCGCGUGAAGGACGACGGUGCUAAGCAUUGUAAACUUCUUUUGUCAAGGGACAACAUCAGGCUCGAGUGCCUGACCGAGGGUACUUGAAGAAAAAGCAUCGGCUAACUCCGUGCCAGCAGCCGCGGUAAUACGGAGGAUGCGAGCGUUUUCCGGAUUUUUUGGGUUUAAAGGGUGGGUAGGCGGUCUGUUAAGUCAGCGGUAAAAGCUAGGGGCUCAACCCCGGCGAGCCGUUGAAACUGGGUGUCUAGAGAGGGCGAGAGGUAUGCGGAAUGCGCGGUGUAGCGGUGAAAUGCAUAGAUAUCGCGCAGAACGCCGAUUGCGAAGGCAGCAUACCGGCGGCGAUCUGACGCUGAGGCACGAAAGCGUGGGUAUCGAACAGGAUUAGAUACCCCGGUAGUC